GACGGUAUGUUGAAGAUGUUUGUUUUUUAUUCAGUUGGGAAACAUAUCACGAUAAAACACUAUUAACAUAAGAUUUCAAUUAGACAUUAUUACAACCAUUUGAGCAUUUAGUUACAGUUGGUGUCCACACAGACACACACAUGGUUCCAUAACACAGCCAUCGUGUCCUCAGCUUAGAUCAUAACAACAGAAAGGUCACUUUAAUUCUCUAUUUAAAAACAUUGUAACAGCAGGCAGAACACUGUCGUACAAUAACAGGUUAUCUUUACCGGAAGGUUCAGAUACAUUUCUAACAGGGUUUAAUAAGGAGAAAACAUUCAGAGAGGAGGAAGAGGGGUUUAAUAAGGAGAAAACAUUCAGAGAGGAGGAAGAGGGGUUUAAUAAGGAGAAAACAUUCAGAGAGGAGGAAGAGGGGUUUAAUAAGGAGAAAACAUUCAGAGAGGAGGAAGAGGGGUUUAAUAAGGAGAAAACAUUCAGAGAGGAGGAAGAGGGGUUUAAUAAGGAGAAAACAUUCAGAGAGGAGGAAGAGGGGUUAAUAAGGAGAAAACAUUCAGAGAGGAGGAAGAGGGGUUUAAUAAGGAGAAAACAUUCAGGGAGGAGGAAGAGGGGUUUAAUAAGGAGAAAACAUUCAGAGAGGAGGAAGAGGGGUUUAAUAAGGAGAAAACAUUCAGAGAGGAGGAAGAGGGGGGGGGGUAUGUUUAACAUGUGCCUCAGAAUUGGGACAGAAGUGGGGUAUGUUUUAAAAUGGCACCCUUCUCUCCCUACAUAUUGCAGUACUUUUAAACAGAGCCCUAUGGGCUCUAGUCAAAAGUAGUGUACUACUGUAUAUAGGGAAUAGGGUGUGAUUUGGGACACAACGUGGAACUACUGUAUAUAGGGAAUAGGGUGUGAUUUGGGACGUGGAACUACUGUAUAUAGGGAAUAGGGUGUGAUUUGGGACACAGCCGUGGAACUACUGUAUAUAGGGAAUAGGGUGUGAUUUGGGACGUGGAACUACUGUAUAUAGGGAAUAGGGUGUGAUUUGGGACGUGGACCUACUGUAUAUAGGGAAUAGGGUGUGAUUUGGGACGUGGACCUACUGUAUAUAGGGAAUAGGGUGUGAUUUGGGACGUGGACCUACUGUAUAUAGGGAAUAGGGUGUGAUUUGGGAUACACAGUGGAACUACUGUAUAUAGGGAAUAGGGUGUGAUUUGGUAUACA
This is a long non-coding RNA of Oncorhynchus tshawytscha (Chinook salmon), 1200 nucleotides long. The record is from Ensembl. Lineage: Eukaryota; Metazoa; Chordata; Actinopteri; Salmoniformes; Salmonidae.